Molecule: ribosomal RNA, 418 nt
Filed under: uncultured bacterium
Lineage: Bacteria
Description: bacterial SSU rRNA
Rfam family: Bacterial small subunit ribosomal RNA
Source: RNAcentral
UGGGGAAUAUUGGGCAAUGGGCGAAAGCCUGACCCAGCAACGCCGCGUGAGGGAAGAAGGGUUUCGGCUCGUAAACCUCUGUCCUAUGGGACGAAGGAAGUGACGGUACCAUAGGAGGAAGCCCCGGCUAACUACGUGCCAGCAGCCGCGGUAAUACGUAGGGGGCGAGCGUUGUCCGGAAUGAUUGGGCGUAAAGGGCGCGUAGGCGGCCUGCUAAGUCUGGAGUGAAAGUCCUGCUUUCAAGGUGGGAAUUGCUUUGGAUACUGGGAGGCUGGAGUGCAGGAGAGGAAAGCGGAAUUACCGGUGUAGCGGUGAAAUGCGUAGAGAUCGGUAGGAACACCAGUGGCGAAGGCGGCUUUCUGGACUGAAACUGACGCUGAGGCGCGAAAGCGUGGGGAGCAAACAGGAUUAGAUACCC